RNAcentral lists this ribosomal RNA (279 nucleotides) under uncultured bacterium. RNAcentral describes it as "partial 16S ribosomal RNA". It matches the Rfam family "Bacterial small subunit ribosomal RNA", at positions 506 to 784 of the family's 1533-position model. The record is from RNAcentral.
UGCCAGCCGCCGCGGUAAUACGGAGGGUGCAAGCGUUAAUCGGAAUUACUGGGCGUAAAGCGCGCGUAGGCGGCUAUUUAAGUCGGAUGUGAAAUCCCCGGGCUCAACCUGGGAACUGCAUCCGAAACUUCAUUUCUAGAGGAUAGACGGAGAAGACGGAAUUCCACGAGUAGCGGUGAAAUGCGUAGAUACGUGGAAGAACACCGGUGGCGAAGGCGGUCUUCUAGUUUAUUCCUGACGCUGAGGCGCGAAAGCAAGGGGAGCAAACAGGAUUAGAUA